Molecule: ribosomal RNA, 491 nt
Filed under: uncultured bacterium
Lineage: Bacteria
Description: partial 16S ribosomal RNA
Rfam family: Bacterial small subunit ribosomal RNA
Source: RNAcentral
AGUGAACGCUGGCGGUAGGCCUAACACAUGCGAGUCGAACGGCAGCACAGUAAGAGCUUGCUCUUACGGGUGGCGAGUGGCGGACGGGUGAGGAAUACAUCGGAAUCUACUUUUUCGUGGGGGAUAACGUAGGGAAACUUACGCUAAUACCGCAUACGACCUACGGGUGAAAGCAGGGGAUCUUCGGACCUUGCGCGAUUGAAUGAGCCGAUGUCGGAUUAGCUAGUUGGCGGGGUAAAGGCCCACCAAGGCGACGAUCCGUAGCUGGUCUGAGCGGAUGAUCCGCCACACGGGAACUGAGACCCGGUCCAGACCCCAACGGGGGGGCGCAGGGGGGAAGAUUGAACAAGGGGCGCAAGCCUGAUCCACCCAGUCCGCGGGGGUGAAGAAGGCCUGCGGGUUGUAAAGCCCUUUUGUUGGGAAAAAAAAGCAGCAGGUUAAAACCCCGCUGUUCUGACGGGACCAAAAGAAAAAGCACAGGCCAACUUCGU